AACGAACGCUGGCGGCAGGCUUAACACAUGCAAGUCGAACGCACCGCAAGGUGAGUGGCAGACGGGUGAGUAACGCGUGGGGACCUACCCUUUGGUUCGGAAUAACUCAGGGAAACUUGAGCUAAUACCGGAUAAGCCCUUCGGGGGAAGGAUUUAUCGCCAUAGGAUGGGCCCGCGUCGGAUUAGCUAGUUGGUAGGGUAAUGGCCUACCAAGGCAACGAUCCGUAGCUGGUCUGAGAGGAUGAUCAGCCACACUGGGACUGAGACACGGCCCAGACUCCUACGGGAGGCAGCAGUGGGGAAUAUUGGACAAUGGGCGAAAGCCUGAUCCAGCCAUGCCGCGUGAGUGAA
This 351-nucleotide ribosomal RNA is filed under the name uncultured bacterium. RNAcentral's name for it is "bacterial SSU rRNA". It matches the Rfam family "Bacterial small subunit ribosomal RNA", at positions 29 to 409 of the family's 1533-position model. The record is from RNAcentral.